This 497-nucleotide ribosomal RNA is filed under the name uncultured bacterium. RNAcentral's name for it is "partial 16S ribosomal RNA". It matches the Rfam family "Bacterial small subunit ribosomal RNA", at positions 28 to 507 of the family's 1533-position model. The record is from RNAcentral.
GAUGAACGCUGGCGGCGUGCCUAAUACAUGCAAGUCGAGCGAACGGACGAGGAGCUUGCUUCUCUGAUGUUAGCGGCGGACGGGAGAGUAACACGUGGAUACCCUCCCUAUAAGACUGGGAUAUCUUCGGGACACCGGAGCUAAUACCGGAUGAUAUUUUGAACCGCAUGGUUCAAAGGUGAAAGACGGUCUUGCGGUCACGUAUAGAUGGAUCCGCGCUGCAUGAGCGAGUUGGUAAGGUAACGGCUUACCAAGGCAAGGAUGCAUAGCCGACCUGAGAGGGGGAUCGGCCACCCUGGAACUGAGCCACGGUCCAGACUCCUACGGGAGGCAGCAGUAGCGAACCGUACGCAACGGGCGAAAGCCUGACGGAGCAACGCCGCGUGAGUGAUGAAGGUCUUCGGAUCGUAAAACUCUGUUAUUAGGGAAGAACAUAUGUGUAAGUAACUGUGCACAUCUUGACGGUACCUAAUCAGAAAGCCACGGCUAACUACGUG